RNAcentral lists this ribosomal RNA (117 nucleotides) under Acidobacteriota bacterium. Lineage: Bacteria; Pseudomonadati; Acidobacteriota. The record is from RNAcentral.
UCCGGUGGCUUUGGCGGAGGGGUUACACCCGUUCCCAUCCCGAACACGGAAGUUAAGCCCUCCAGCGCCGAUGGUACUGCGUUGGCAACGACGUGGGAGAGUAGGUCGUCGCCGGGA